This 186-nucleotide unclassified non-coding RNA is filed under the name Glomeraceae sp. RNAcentral's name for it is "partial contains 5.8S ribosomal RNA and internal transcribed spacer 2". The stretch from base 1 to 71 matches the Rfam family "5.8S ribosomal RNA", at positions 84 to 154 of the family's 154-position model. The record is from RNAcentral. Lineage: Eukaryota; Fungi; Glomeromycota; Glomeromycetes; Glomerales; Glomeraceae.
GUGAAUCAUCAAAUCUUUGAACGCAAAUUGCACUCCCUGGUAUUCCGGAGAGUAUGCCUGUUUGAGGGUCAUUUAAAUAAAAAUCGGCUAGUUGUUGCCGCUUUGCGUAGUGACGCAUCGGGGUUUGGUCGUCUUACCUUCGGUUAAGUGACCUAAAAUUUUGCAUGAUUUUCGAACGUAUUUAAA